AGGAAAUGAGGAAAGGUAAGAAACCAAACCCAAUUCUUUUGAUGCAUGAUGGAAUAGAUAUUCAAAUAAAAGCGAACAUGAGAUGAACUUAUUCAACUUCUCUAUCAACCACACUUCUUAAUUGUCAAGCAUUAUAGUACAUUUUUAAAACUUAAGAUUUACAAGAAGGUAGACACUAUAUAUAUGUAAAUGAGUAAGUUGAAAUAGGGGCAAGUAAAAUCCUAGAAGCAAGAAAAGGCCAAGGAAUAAUUUGAAUCUCCAACUUGUUAAAGAAGCUAUAGUGUUGUGCUGGUUUAGAAGCUGACACAGAAUGGUAGAGAUUAUCAUUCUUGUCCAUAGGGAUAUAUGCUAGAAGAUAUCUGCAAUAAAUGAAAAUAUACGCAAAACAUUAAGAAGUUGUUUACAAAUGAUUAAAAUGAAUGAAAAAUUGAAAAAAGCAUUGAACCAAUAACGUGACAAUACCUUCCCCCUCAUCCACUUCAUUAUAAUCAUCUUUUUUCUUUUUUCAUUAAUAUAGAGUUUUGUUUAAAAAAAAUAUUUAUUUAUUUAUAAAUAAUCAUAUUAGCUUAUUAGGGUGAGGUAACGUUACCAUCAUGAGUCAUUUAGACAACCCUCAGAAUAUUGUAAGAGAUCUUUUUUAUAUUCUAUAUUCUACAACUACAAGUAUAAAAAAAAUGAUUGCCAUAGAGAUUGACAAUUGAGGGUACCAAUUUAUAGAACUUACAACUUAUCUGCAAACUAAAUCCAUACACUAUUUACUUUUGAUAUUUAAUAUGCAGGGUGAAAAUCAACUAUGCUCUGUGGGGUAGUUAUUUUGAUCAGUUGAAUAAUUUCCUGGCCACCGGAGACUGUAACUAUUUGUAUUAAUACCAACAAUCUUUUUCCACUUACAACCUUUCCUCUUAUUCCUUUCCACUUAUAUUCCAUCCUUCCAUUUUCUUCUCUCCAUCCAAACACCAGUAAUCACACUGACUUUGGAUCAAUUAGCAUUGGAUUGAAAUGUGAAGUCCCAAAAUAACAUCGUUUAAUUAAAAGAUCCAAUUGAAAAAAAUCAAAAUUACUCAUUAUUCAGUAAAUGAUUGCAUCCAGGUAAUGCAAGAUUGCAGGAAAUGAGGAAAGGUAAGAAACCAAACCCAAUUCUUUUGAUGCAUGAUGGAAUAGAUAUUCAAAUAAAAGCGAACAUGAGAUGAACUUAUUCAACUUCUCUAUCAACCACACUUCUUAAUUGUCAAGCAUUAUAGUACAUUUUUAAAACUUAAGAUUUACAAGAAGGUAGACACUAUAUAUAUGUAAAUGAGUAAGUUGAAAUAGGGGCAAGUAAAAUCCUAGAAGCAAGAAAAGGCCAAGGAAUAAUUUGAAUCUCCAACUUGUUAAAGAAGCUAUAGUGUUGUGCUGGUUUAGAAGCUGACACAGAAUGGUAG
RNAcentral lists this long non-coding RNA (1421 nucleotides) under Lotus japonicus. RNAcentral's name for it is "long non-coding RNA (LJAP_LNC000677)". The record is from RNAcentral. Lineage: Eukaryota; Viridiplantae; Streptophyta; Magnoliopsida; Fabales; Fabaceae.